AGUGAACGCUGGCGGUAGACCUAACACAUGCAAGUCGAACGGCAGCACAGUAAGAGCUUGCUCUUACGGGUGGCGAGUGGCGGACGGGUGAGGAAUACAUCGGAAUCUACUUUUUCGUGGGGGAUAACGUAGGGAAACUUACGCUAAUACCGCAUACGACCUACGGGUGAAAGCAGGGGAUCUUCGGACCUUGCGCGAUUGAAUGAGCCGAUGUCGGAUUAGCUAGUUGGCGGGGUAAAGGCCCACCAAGGCGACGAUCCGUAGCUGGUCUGAGAGGAUGAUCAGCCACACUGGAACUGAGACACGGUCCAGACUCCUACGGGAGGCAGCAGUGGGGAAUAUUGGACAAUGGGCGCAAGCCUGAUCCAGCCAUACCGCGUGGGUGAAGAAGGCCUUCGGGUUGUAAAGCCCUUUUGUUGGGAAAGAAAAGCAGCAGGUUAAUACCCCGCUGUUCUGACGGUUCCCAAAGAAUAAGCACCGGCUAACUUCGUG
This 492-nucleotide ribosomal RNA is filed under the name uncultured bacterium. RNAcentral's name for it is "partial 16S ribosomal RNA". It matches the Rfam family "Bacterial small subunit ribosomal RNA", at positions 29 to 507 of the family's 1533-position model. The record is from RNAcentral.